This 72-nucleotide transfer RNA is filed under the name Insectozyma chauliodis. RNAcentral's name for it is "Candida chauliodis tRNA-His". It matches the Rfam family "tRNA". From Rfam's summary of the family: Transfer RNA (tRNA) molecules are approximately 80 nucleotides in length. The record is from RNAcentral. Lineage: Eukaryota; Fungi; Ascomycota; Pichiomycetes; Serinales; Debaryomycetaceae.
GGUAGCCAUAGUUCAGUGGUAGAACCCCCGUAUGUGGCAUGGGAUGCUUGAGUUCGAAUCUCAAUGGUUACC